GUGAGUCGGGUGUGAAAGCCCGGGGCUCAACCCCGGAAUUGCGCCCGAUACUGCGGGGAUUGAAUUCGGGAGAGGGAAGCGGAAUUCCUGGUGUAGAGGUGAAAUUCGUAGAUAUCAGGAGGAACACAGGUGGCGAAAGCGGCUUCCUGGCCCGAUAUUGACGCUCAUGUACGAGAGCGUGGGGAGCAAACAGG
Molecule: ribosomal RNA, 194 nt
Filed under: uncultured bacterium
Lineage: Bacteria
Description: partial 16S ribosomal RNA
Rfam family: Bacterial small subunit ribosomal RNA
Source: RNAcentral